GAUCAUGGCUCAGGAUGAACGCUGGCGGCGUGCCUAAUACAUGCAAGUCGAACGCUUUGUAAAGGAGCUUGCUUCUUUACAGGGAGUGGCGAACGGGUGAGUAAUACAUAAGCAAUCUGCCCAUCGGCCUGGGAUAACAGUUGGAAACGACUGCUAAUACCGGAUAGGUGAUGAAGAGGCAUCUCUUGAUCAUUAAAGUUGGGAUACAACACGGAUGGAUGAGCUUACGGCG
This 232-nucleotide ribosomal RNA is filed under the name uncultured bacterium. Its description in RNAcentral is "partial 16S ribosomal RNA". It matches the Rfam family "Bacterial small subunit ribosomal RNA", at positions 15 to 238 of the family's 1533-position model. The record is from RNAcentral.